This is a non-coding RNA of Peromyscus maniculatus bairdii (prairie deer mouse), 883 nucleotides long. The record is from RefSeq and is a predicted model, not a curated record. Lineage: Eukaryota; Metazoa; Chordata; Mammalia; Rodentia; Cricetidae.
CUUAUCACCUUUAUACCGAUGAAAGGGUGGGGGAGUGGCCACUGGGCUUCUAGUCCAACCAGUCGGGCCUUUGAACCGGGCCGUGGCAUUCUUGUCCCAACAACUGGACCCCACUGUCCAUGGAUGGUAGCCAUGCUUGAGAGCCCUGGGGGCAGUGGCUGAACUCACAGGGCAGGCUACCCAAGACCACCCUGUUCCAGCCAAUCAUGGUAUACUGCGGCGAGCUCCUCGGCCAGCAAGGAAGAACGACCACCACUCGAGGAUUCUUCUCAGAUCACACUUUAUUGGAGCGCCUCUUGAUUAAGGGAGAGCUGGAGAAAUUUGCCUUCUUUGCUUCCUCAAGAAACAGAUGCCUGAGGUCUCUAGGAUGACAAUUAACUGGAUUCUCCUCCACUCACACCUCCUGCUGAAUCUACAGACCUGGGCAGAGGACCCUCAACUGAGAAAGUGCCUCCAUCACACUGCCUGUAGCAACCUGUCUUCUAAGCUCCCUCAAGGACCAGAUGCCCGAGGUCUCCACAAUGACAGCUAACUGAAUGCUUCUUCACUCAUACCUCCCACUGUGCAUGACCCUGACUCCCAACUUCUCCUUCCCCACUUUGUCCCAAAUCAGCAGGAAGUAGUCUCAAGAAUUCGGUGCCCUCAUCCCCCCCACACUUGCUAUCCAUAACUCACCUUUUAUAAUAAUCGAAAAGGGAGGAAUGUUAGCAUCCAGACUGGCCCCUGGCCUGCCCAGCAUCCUUACAAUGCCAUCCUACAUAAAGUAUCCUUUAAGAAAAUACCCCUCCCUCUUUUCUCCUUCUCUAUUCCCAUGAGUUACACACCUCUGCUCUCUCUCUCUCUCCUUCUCUCUCUGUUCUCUUCUCCUUUCCUCCCUAUCCUU